RNAcentral lists this ribosomal RNA (425 nucleotides) under uncultured bacterium. Its description in RNAcentral is "bacterial SSU rRNA". It matches the Rfam family "Bacterial small subunit ribosomal RNA", at positions 356 to 773 of the family's 1533-position model. The record is from RNAcentral.
GGGGAAUAUUGGACAAUGGGGGAAACCCUGAUCCAGCGAUGCCGCGUGUGUGAAGAAGGCCUGCGGGUUGUAAAGCACUUUCGAUGGGGAGGAAAAGUUUAUUGUUAAUACCAAUAAGCUGUGACGUUACCCAUAUAAGAAGCACCGGCAAACUCUGUGCCAGCAGCCGCGGUAAUACAGAGGGUGCAAGCGUUAGUCGGAGUUAUUGGGCGUAAAGCGUGCGUAGGUGGAAAUUCCAGUCAGUUGUGAAAGCCCCGGGCUCAACCUGGGAACUGCUGCUGAUACUGAGUUUCUUGAGUAUGGUAGAGGAAAGUGGAAUUCCCAGUGUAGCGGUGGAAUGCGUAGAUAUUGGGAGGAACACCAGUGGCGAAGGCGGCUUUCUGGACCUAUACUGACACUGAAGCACGAAAGCGUGGGGAGCAAAC